Molecule: ribosomal RNA, 253 nt
Filed under: uncultured bacterium
Lineage: Bacteria
Description: partial 16S ribosomal RNA
Rfam family: Bacterial small subunit ribosomal RNA
Source: RNAcentral
UACAGAGGGGGCGAGCGUUGUUCGGAAUUACUGGGCGUAAAGGGCUCGUAGGCGGCCAACUAAGUCACACGUGAAAUCCCCAGGCUUAACCUGGGAACUGCGUGUGAUACUGGAUGGCUUGAAUUCGGGAGAGGGAUGCAGAAUUCCAGGUGUAGCGGUGAAAUGCGUAGAUAUCUGGAGGAAUACCGGUGGCGAAGGCGGCAUCCUGGACCGACAUUGACGCUGAGGAGCGAAAGCUAGGGGAGCAAACGGG